RNAcentral lists this ribosomal RNA (253 nucleotides) under uncultured bacterium. RNAcentral describes it as "partial 16S ribosomal RNA". It matches the Rfam family "Bacterial small subunit ribosomal RNA", at positions 524 to 776 of the family's 1533-position model. The record is from RNAcentral.
UACGAAGGGGGCUAGCGUUGUUCGGAAUUACUGGGCGUAAAGCGCACGUAGGCGGCUUGGUAAGUCAGAGGUGAAAUCCCGGAGCUCAACUUCGGAACUGCCUUUGAUACUGGCAAUCUAGAGUCCGGAAGAGGUUAGUGGAAUUCCCAGUGUAGAGGUGAAAUUCGUAGAUAUUGGGAAGAACACCAGUGGCGAAGGCGGCUAACUGGUCCGGUACUGACGCUGAGGUGCGAAAGCGUGGGGAGCAAACAGG